This 1070-nucleotide ribosomal RNA is filed under the name uncultured bacterium. RNAcentral describes it as "bacterial SSU rRNA". It matches the Rfam family "Bacterial small subunit ribosomal RNA", at positions 339 to 1398 of the family's 1533-position model. The record is from RNAcentral.
CUACGGGAGGCAGCAGUGGGGAAUCUUCCGCAAUGGGCGCAAGCCUGACGGAGCGACGCCGCGUGAGGGACGAAGGCCUUCGGGUUGUAAACCUCUUUUCUGGGGGAAGAACGUCCGGCCUGUUAAUAGCGGGUUGGGUUGACGGUACCUCAGGAAUAAGCCCCGGCUAACUACGUGCCAGCAGCCGCGGUAAUACGUAGGGGGCGAGCGUUGUCCGGAAUCACUGGGCGUAAAGGGCGCGUAGGCGGCUUGAGAAGUCGCAGGUGAAAUCCCGCGGCUCAACCGUGGAACUGCCUGCGAAACCAUUGGGCUUGAGGACAGGAGAGGGAAGCGGAAUUCCUGGUGUAGCGGUGAAAUGCGUAGAUAUCAGGAGGAACACCAGUGGCGAAGGCGGCUUUCUGGCCUGGUCCUGACGCUGAGGCGCGAAAGCUAGGGGAGCAAACAGGAUUAGAUACCCUGGUAGUCCUAGCUGUAAACGAUGGGCACUAGGUGUUGGGGGGUUCAUACCCUUCAGUGCCGUAGGUAACCCAAUAAGUGCCCCGCCUGGGGAGUACGGCCGCAAGACUGAAACUCAAAGGAAUUGACGGGGGCCCGCACAAGCGGUGGAGCAUGUGGUUUAAUUCGAUGCAACGCGAAGAACCUUACCAGGGUUUGACAUGUCGGUGGUACGGAGUGGAAACACGAAGGACCCUUCGGGGAGCCGGUACAGGUGGUGCAUGGUUGUCGUCAGCUCGUGCCGUGAGGUGUUGGGUUAAGUCCCGCAACGAGCGCAACCCUUACUUCUAGUUGCCAGCGGGUUAAGCCGGGCACUCUAGAGGGACUGCCGUCGACAAGGCGGAGGAAGGUGGGGAUGACGUCAAAUCAUCAUGCCCUUUAUACCCUGGGCUACACACGUGCUACAAUGGCCGGUACAGCGGGAAGCUAAGGCGUGAGCUGGAGCAAAUCCCAAAAAGCCGGUCCAAGUUCGGAUUGCAGGCUGCAACUCGCCUGCAUAAAGUCGGAAUCGCUAGUAAUCGCAGGUCAGCAUACUGCGGUGAAUGCGUUCCCGGGCCUUGUACACACCGCCCGUC